Molecule: ribosomal RNA, 428 nt
Filed under: uncultured bacterium
Lineage: Bacteria
Description: bacterial SSU rRNA
Rfam family: Bacterial small subunit ribosomal RNA
Source: RNAcentral
UGGGGAAUAUUGGACAAUGGGGGAAACCCUGAUCCAGCAAUGCCGCGUGUGUGAAGAAGGCCUUAGGGUUGUAAAGCACUUUCAGUUGGGAGGAAUAUCUUAUAGUUAAUAGCUGUAAGUUUGACGCUACCAAAAGAAGAAGCACCGGCAAACUCUGUGCCAGCAGCCGCGGUAAUACAGAGGGUGCAAGCGUUAAUCGGAAUUACUGGGCGUAAAGCGCGCGUAGGUGGAUAAGUAAGUUGGAUGUGAAAUCCCCGGGCUCAACCUGGGAACUGCAUUCAAAACUGCUUUUCUAGAGUAUAGUAGAGGGGAGUGGAAUUUCCGGUGUAGCGGUGAAAUGCGUAGAUAUCGGAAGGAACACCAGUGGCGAAGGCGACUCCCUGGACUAAUACUGACACUGAGGUGCGAAAGCGUGGGGAGCAAACAGG